RNAcentral lists this ribosomal RNA (253 nucleotides) under uncultured bacterium. RNAcentral describes it as "partial 16S ribosomal RNA". It matches the Rfam family "Bacterial small subunit ribosomal RNA", at positions 524 to 776 of the family's 1533-position model. The record is from RNAcentral.
UACGGGGGGUGCGAGCGUUGUCCGGCAUCACUGGGCGUAAAGGGCGCGUAGGUGGUUUGAUAAGGGUGUGGUGAAAGUCCGGGGCUCAACCCCGGAUCUGCCGUGCCGACUGUCAAACUCGAGGGCUGUAGAGGCAGACGGAAUUCCGGGUGUAGCGGUGGAAUGCGUAGAGAUCCGGAGGAAGACCGGUGGCGAAGGCGGUCUGCUGGGCAGUUUCUGACACUGAUGCGCGACAGCGUGGGGAGCAAACAGG